GGGCCCGCACAAGCGGUGGAGCAUGUGGUUUAAUUCGACGCAACGCGAAGAACCUUACCUGGCCUUGACAUCCAGAGAACUUUCCAGAGAUGGAUUGGUGCCUUCGGGAACUCUGAGACAGGUGCUGCAUGGCCGUCGUCAGCUCGUGUCGUGAGAUGUUGGGUUAAGUCCCGUAACGAGCGCAACCCCUAUCCCUGGUUGCUAGCAGGUAAUGCUGAGAACUCCAGGGAGACUGCCGGUGACAAACCGGAGGAAGGUGGGGAUGACGUCAGGUCAUCAUGGCCCUUACGGCCAGGGCUACACACGUGCUACAAUGGCGCGUACAGAGGGCUGCCAACUCGCGAGAGUGAGCCAAUCCCUUAAAACGCGUCGUAGUCCGGAUCGGAGUCUGCAACUCGACUCCGUGAAGUCGGAAUCGCUAGUAAUCG
RNAcentral lists this ribosomal RNA (428 nucleotides) under uncultured bacterium. Its description in RNAcentral is "bacterial SSU rRNA". It matches the Rfam family "Bacterial small subunit ribosomal RNA", at positions 917 to 1344 of the family's 1533-position model. The record is from RNAcentral.